RNAcentral lists this ribosomal RNA (326 nucleotides) under Candona sp. 63 IK-2020. RNAcentral describes it as "partial large subunit ribosomal RNA". The record is from RNAcentral. Lineage: Eukaryota; Metazoa; Arthropoda; Ostracoda; Podocopida; Candonidae.
UUUGCCUUUUAAUUGGGGGCUGGAAUGAAAGGUUUUAUGGAAAAUAGCUGUUUUAAAAUAAAAAAUUGAAUUUAAGUUUUGCAUAAAAACUUGCAAAUGCUCUUAAGGGACGAGAAGACCCUGUGGAUUUUUAUUUGUUAAAGAAUAAAUUUUAUAAUAUUUUAUUUUUUAUUCAAAUUUGGUUGGGAUGACAGCAAAAUUAACUUUGCUAAAAAAAUAAUGUAGAUCCUUUUUAAGGAAGAAAGAAUAAAUUACCCCAGGGAUAACAGCGUAAUACUUUUGGACAGGACGAAUGGAUAAAAGUGUUUGCGACCUCGAUGUUGAAU